This 1378-nucleotide long non-coding RNA is filed under the name Gossypium barbadense (sea-island cotton). RNAcentral describes it as "long non-coding RNA (GBAR_LNC020851)". Lineage: Eukaryota; Viridiplantae; Streptophyta; Magnoliopsida; Malvales; Malvaceae. The record is from RNAcentral.
CAGUAAAAUAGAUGGCACCCAGUCCUUAGAAAAUAUCCAAACCCUCAAAACUUGUCGGUACCAUCUUCCAAAAACAAGCAGCCUUCCAAAAUCAAAACCAUUUGCUGCUCAUUCCUCUCUCCAAAGCCUACCUCUUCCUCUUCUGUCAAUCUGGUUCCCUCCUCCUCCCCCAUAAUCUAUCAUUGAUGACCAUCGGAACAUUUCCAAUUAGGUAACUCUCUCUUCCAUUCUUUAAGCAAUCCGCGGCUAAACUAUGUGCUAGGAUAUUAGCAUAUCUGGGUAUGUGUUUGAGCUGGAUACUAUGAAAACUCCUUUUCAAUUGUUGUAUGUCCUAAAUAAUAGCCCCUAUCACUGAUUUAUCUCGAAUGUCCGACUGACUUUUUUUAAUAAUGGUUUUUGCAUCUCCUUCUAUGGUAACUAAUGAGAGGCCUAGAUGGUUUCCCAAAAGCAAGGCCUCAAAGUAAGCAUAUCCUUCCGCUAUAAAUGCCGAAGCGAUCUCCUUGUGCAGUGUCUGUUUUGAAGCCAAAAUCUCACUUGGAGAGUUACGAACAACCACUCCAGAUCUAGAUCUCACCAAAUUUUGAUUACAAGCGGCAUCAAAAUUAACUUUAACAUCAGAACCUAAUGGGGGACACCAUUCCUCAUUAACAAUAGAUCUGGUAAACUUCUUAUCUUCUAAACUGUCAAUCUCUCCAAUAUAUCUUGUUAUCUAGUUCGCUAUUUCUUUUCCUUUAAUCUGACUCUCGUCAUGCAGGACAAGAUUUCUAUUUGUCCAGAUUCCUCAUAUGGCACAAUAAAAUAAUUUGUACUGGUCAUUGGAACUCAUUCGAAAAACCCAGGUAAACCAAUCUCUGUCGUUCAAAUCUAGAUUAGAAAGAAUCUAGUUUAGAUUUAAAUAAUUCCAAACUUUUAUUGAUAUAGAACAUUAUCUAAAAACAUGAUACAAGGGCUCUGCUGCUCCACCACACUUGUGACACAGGACAUCUCUUCUAAUCCUUCUGUGUUGGAGAUUAACAAAAGUAGGCAAGAAAUUCCAAGUGGUUUUCCAUAGAUUAAUUUUUACUUUUGAAGGGAUUUUUAGAGAUCAUAGUUUUUUGUAUAGCUCCCUAGAAUCAUAAUGUGUAUAAUUAGGGUUAAAAGUACCUUUAUGUAAUAGUUUAUAGGAACUUCUGACAGAAAAUUCCCUUGAAGAUUCCCCCUCCAGACCCGUAUGUCUUCAAUCCCUUCUUUGGCCAAAGGAGUUCGUAAGAUUUUCGACGCAAUCUCUUCAAGAAAGGUACUAUUAAUUAGAUUUACUUUCCAUUCUCUAUCAUCUGCAUCAAUGAAGUUAAAAACUAAGUUUAACCCACCAGUAUUAAUUUAUUCAUUAAUUCUAUAG